AUUGAACGCUGGCGGCAGGCCUAACACAUGCAAGUCGAGCGGAAACGAGAAGUAGCUUGCUACUUCGGCGUCGAUCGGCGGACGGUGAGUAAUGCCUGGGAAAUUGCCUUGAUGUGGGGGAUAACCAUUGGAAACGAUGGCUAAUACCGCAUAACGCUUCUGUUUGUAAUGAACGAGAGCCAAAGAGGGGGACCUUCGGGCCUCUCGCGUCAAGAUAUGCCCAGGUGGGAUUAGCUAGUUGAUGAGGUAAUGGCUCACCAAGGCGACGAUACCUAGCUGGUCUGAGAGGAUGAUCAGCCACACUGGAACUGAGACACGGUCCAGACUCCUACGGGAGGCAGCAGUGGGGAAUAUUGCACAAUGGGCGCAAGCCUGAUGCAGAUAUGCCGCGUGUAUGAAGAAGGCCUUCGGGUUGUAAAGUACUUUCAGCAGUGAGGAGGGUGGAUGUGUUAAUAGCACAUUCAUUUGACGUUAGCUGCAGAAGAAGCACCGGCUAACUCCGUGCCAGCAGCCGCGGUAAUACGGAGGGUGCGAGCGUUAAUCGGAAUUACUGGGCGUAAAGCGCAUGCAGGUGGAAGAUUAAGUCAGAUGUGAAAGCCCGGGUCUCAACCUCGGAAUAGCAUUUGAAACUGGUCAUCUAGAGUACUGUAGAGGGGGGUAGAAUUUCA
Molecule: ribosomal RNA, 668 nt
Filed under: uncultured Vibrionaceae bacterium
Lineage: Bacteria; Pseudomonadati; Pseudomonadota; Gammaproteobacteria; Vibrionales; Vibrionaceae
Description: bacterial SSU rRNA
Rfam family: Bacterial small subunit ribosomal RNA
Source: RNAcentral